RNAcentral lists this ribosomal RNA (497 nucleotides) under uncultured bacterium. Its description in RNAcentral is "partial 16S ribosomal RNA". It matches the Rfam family "Bacterial small subunit ribosomal RNA", at positions 28 to 507 of the family's 1533-position model. The record is from RNAcentral.
GAUGAACGCUGGCGGCGUGCCUAAUACAUGCAAGUCGAGCGAACAGACGAGGAGCUUGCUCCUCUGACGUUAGCGGCGGACGGGUGAGUAACACGUGGAUAACCUACCUAUAAGACUGGGAUAACUUCGGGAAACCGGAGCUAAUACCGGAUAAUAUAUUGAACCGCAUGGUUCAAUAGUGAAAGACGGUUUUGCUGUCACUUAUAGAUGGAUCCGCGCCGCAUUAGCUAGUUGGUAAGGUAACGGCUUACCAAGGCGACGAUGCGUAGCCGACCUGAGAGGGUGAUCGGCAACACUGGAACUGAGACACGGUCCAGAAUCCUACGGGAGGCAGAAGUAGGGAAUCUUCCGCAAUGGGCGAAAGCCUGACGGAGCAACGCCGCGUGAGUGAUGAAGGUCUUCGGAUCGUAAAACUCUGUUAUUAGGGAAGAACAAAUGUGUAAGUAACUAUGCACGUCUUGACGGUACCUAAUCAGAAAGCCACGGCUAACUACGUG